GACAGAGGGUGCAAACGUUGCUCGGAAUUACUGGGCGUAAAGCGCGUGUAGGCGGACCUGCAAGUCGGACGUGAAAGCCCUGGGCUCAACCCAGGAACUGCAUCCGAAACUGCGGGCCUGGAGUGGUGGAGAGGGAAGCAGAAUUCCUGGUGUAGAGGUGAAAUUCGUAGAUAUCAGGAGGAACACCGGUGGCGAAGGCGGGUCUCUGGGCCGAUACUGACGCUGAGGAGCGAAAGCGUGGGGAGCAAACAGG
This 253-nucleotide ribosomal RNA is filed under the name uncultured bacterium. RNAcentral's name for it is "partial 16S ribosomal RNA". It matches the Rfam family "Bacterial small subunit ribosomal RNA", at positions 524 to 776 of the family's 1533-position model. The record is from RNAcentral.